GCCGGGUAUGGUGGCUCACACCUGUAAUCCCAGCAAUUUGGGAGGCUGAGGCGGGCUGAUCGCCUGAGGUCAGGAGUUUGCAACCAGCCUGACCAACAUGGCGAAACCCCGUCUCUAUUCAAAUUACAAAAAUCAGUUGGCAGUAGUGGCGCGCACCUGUAAUCCCAGCAAUUUGGGAGGCUGAGGCGGGCUGAUCGCCUGAGGUCAGGAGUUUGCAACCAGCCUGACCAACAUGGCGAAACCCCGUCUCUA
This 252-nucleotide signal recognition particle RNA is filed under the name Chlorocebus sabaeus (green monkey). Its description in RNAcentral is "Metazoan signal recognition particle RNA". It matches the Rfam family "Metazoan signal recognition particle RNA". Rfam says of the family: The signal recognition particle (SRP) is a universally conserved ribonucleoprotein. It is involved in the co-translational targeting of proteins to membranes. Lineage: Eukaryota; Metazoa; Chordata; Mammalia; Primates; Cercopithecidae. The record is from Rfam by way of RNAcentral.